UACAGAGGGUGCGAGCGUUAAUCGGAAUUACUGGGCGUAAAGCGCGCGUAGGCGGCUUUGCAAGUCGGGUGUGAAAUCCCCAGGCUUAACCUGGGAACUGCAUUCGAGACUGCAUUGCUAGAGUAUGGGAGAGGGAAGUGGAAUUUCCGGUGUAGCGGUGAAAUGCGUAGAUAUCGGAAGGAACAUCAGUGGCGAAAGCGACUUCCUGGACCGGUAUUGACGCUGAGGCGCGAAAGCUAGGGGAGCAAACGGG
RNAcentral lists this ribosomal RNA (253 nucleotides) under uncultured bacterium. RNAcentral's name for it is "partial 16S ribosomal RNA". It matches the Rfam family "Bacterial small subunit ribosomal RNA", at positions 524 to 776 of the family's 1533-position model. The record is from RNAcentral.